GGGGGGGGGGGGCGGGGGGGGGGGGGGGGGGGGGGCGGGGGGGCAGGGGGGGAGGGGGCGCCUCUGACGGGAGCGGCGGACGGGGGGGUAACACGUGGAUAACCUACCUAUAAGACUGGGAUAACUUCGGGAAACCGGAGCUAAUACCGGAUAAUAUAUUGAACCGCAUGGUUCAAUAGUGAAAGACGGUUUUGCUGUCACUUAUAGAUGGAUCCGCGCCGCAUUAGCUAGUUGGUAAGGUAACGGCUUACCAAGGCAACGAUGCGUAGCCGACCUGAGAGGGUGAUCGGCCACACUGGAACUGAGACACGGUCCAGACUCCUACGGGAGGCAGCAGUAGGGAAUCUUCCGCAAUGGGCGAAAGCCUGACGGAGCAACGCCGCGUGAGUGAUGAAGGUCUUCGGAUCGUAAAACUCUGUUAUUAGGGAAGAACAAAUGUGUAAGUAACUAUGCACGUCUUGACGGUACCUAAUCAGAAAGCCACGGCUAACUACGUG
RNAcentral lists this ribosomal RNA (497 nucleotides) under uncultured bacterium. RNAcentral's name for it is "partial 16S ribosomal RNA". It matches the Rfam family "Bacterial small subunit ribosomal RNA", at positions 38 to 507 of the family's 1533-position model. The record is from RNAcentral.